GGAUAAAUAGCUCAAUGGUAGAGCGCCGGCCUGUUAAGCCGUGGAUGAAAGUUCGAUCCUUUCUUUAUCCGCCA
RNAcentral lists this transfer RNA (74 nucleotides) under Chitinophaga agrisoli. RNAcentral's name for it is "Chitinophaga sp. BN140078 tRNA-Asn". It matches the Rfam family "tRNA". Rfam says of the family: Transfer RNA (tRNA) molecules are approximately 80 nucleotides in length. Their secondary structure includes four short double-helical elements and three loops (D, anti-codon, and T loops). Further hydrogen bonds mediate the characteristic L-shaped molecular structure. tRNAs have two regions of fundamental functional importance: the anti-codon, which is responsible for specific mRNA codon recognition, and the 3' end, to which the tRNAs corresponding amino acid is attached (by aminoacyl-tRNA synthetases). tRNAs cope with the degeneracy of the genetic code in two manners: having more than one tRNA (with a specific anti-codon) for a particular amino acid; and 'wobble' base-pairing, i.e. permitting non-standard base-pairing at the 3rd anti-codon position. Lineage: Bacteria; Pseudomonadati; Bacteroidota; Chitinophagia; Chitinophagales; Chitinophagaceae. The record is from RNAcentral.